This 28-nucleotide non-coding RNA is filed under the name Mus musculus (house mouse). The record is from RNAcentral. Lineage: Eukaryota; Metazoa; Chordata; Mammalia; Rodentia; Muridae.
UGCUGACUGCACACACCCUUGACUGAGC